Molecule: ribosomal RNA, 253 nt
Filed under: uncultured bacterium
Lineage: Bacteria
Description: partial 16S ribosomal RNA
Rfam family: Bacterial small subunit ribosomal RNA
Source: RNAcentral
UACGAAGGGGGCUAGCGUUGCUCGGAAUCACUGGGCGUAAAGCGCACGUAGGCGGAUUGUUAAGUCAGGGGUGAAAUCCUGGAGCUCAACUCCAGAACUGCCUUUGAUACUGACGGUCUUGAGUCCGGGAGAGGUGAGUGGAACUGCGAGUGUAGAGGUGAAAUUCGUAGAUAUUCGCAUGAACACCAGUGGCGAAGGCGGCUCACUGGCCCGGUACUGACGCUGAGGUGCGAAAGCGUGGGGAGCAAACAGG